RNAcentral lists this ribosomal RNA (253 nucleotides) under uncultured bacterium. Its description in RNAcentral is "partial 16S ribosomal RNA". It matches the Rfam family "Bacterial small subunit ribosomal RNA", at positions 524 to 776 of the family's 1533-position model. The record is from RNAcentral.
UACGGAGGGAGCUAGCGUUGUUCGGAAUUACUGGGCGUAAAGCGCACGUAGGCGGCUUUGUAAGUAAGAGGUGAAAGCCUGGAGCUCAACUCCAGAAUAGCCUUUUAGACUGCAUCGCUUGAAUCCGGGAGAGGUGAGUGGAAUUCCGAGUGUAGAGGUGAAAUUCGUAGAUAUUCGGAAGAACACCAGUGGCGAAGGCGGCUCACUGGACCGGUAUUGACGCUGAGGCACGAAAGCGUGGGGAGCAAACAGG